This 440-nucleotide ribosomal RNA is filed under the name uncultured bacterium. RNAcentral describes it as "partial 16S ribosomal RNA". It matches the Rfam family "Bacterial small subunit ribosomal RNA", at positions 338 to 795 of the family's 1533-position model. The record is from RNAcentral.
CCUACGGGGGGCAGCAGUGGGGGAUAUUGCACAAUGGGGGAAACCCUGAUGCAGCGACGCCGCGUGAGGGAAGACGGUCCUCUGGAUUGUAAACCACUGUCUCCAGGGACGAAGAUGACGGUACCGGGGGAGGAAGCUCCGGCUAACUACGUGCCAGCAGCCGCGGUAAUACGAAGGGAGCGAGCGUUGUCCGGAAUUACUGGGGGUAAAGGGAGCGUAGGCGGGACUGCAAGUCGGGUGUCAAAUCUACCGGCUCAACCGGUAGCCGCACUCCAAACUGCAUAUCUUGAGUGAAGUAGAGGCAGGCGGAAUUCCUAGUGUAGCGGUGAAAUGCGUAGAUAUUAGGAGGAACACCAGUGGCGAAGGCGGCCUGCUGGGCUUUUACUGACGCUGAGGCUCGAAAGUGUGGGGAGCAAACAGGAUUAGAUACCCUUGUAGUC